UGUUCUUUAUUGAGUCUCGUAGAACUGUGAGUACCUACUGCUUGUGUAUGUGCUGGAGACACUUCCCACUGUAGACACCGUGGGGCGCCCCAGAAUUAGGCGGCACUGUUGAGCCUGCCCUCUGGGGAUUCACUUUGUUCCAGGCACUGUGCUGGGAAGUGGGGACACGAGGGCUGCAGAAGGGCGUCCCUGAGUCCGCUUGGUGACCUGCCAGGGCCCUGAGCAGUGCAGAGGCACUACUCAGAUGAACGCCACGGCCACGGGGGACCACCCGAGCGCCAUGGCCGCGACUCGCGCGACGGCUGGGGAGGCUAUGCCUCUGACAAGAGGAUGGGCGAAGGCCGGCCGCUGCCACCUCCUCCCAGGGGCGGACGUGACUGGGCAGAGCACCCUCCCCGGCCGGAGGAGCAGCAGGAGCGCGCCUGGCAGGGCGGCGUGGACGCGGGCGCGGCGGGCCGGGAGCACGCCCGCUGGCAAGGUGGGCUGGCUCCCUGACGGGCUGGGCGGCCGGGGCUG
RNAcentral lists this long non-coding RNA (516 nucleotides) under Dasypus novemcinctus (nine-banded armadillo). Its description in RNAcentral is "lncRNA (ENSDNOG00000050014.1)". Lineage: Eukaryota; Metazoa; Chordata; Mammalia; Cingulata; Dasypodidae. The record is from RNAcentral.